Molecule: ribosomal RNA, 459 nt
Filed under: uncultured bacterium
Lineage: Bacteria
Description: partial 16S ribosomal RNA
Rfam family: Bacterial small subunit ribosomal RNA
Source: RNAcentral
AUUGAACGCUGGCGGCAGGCCUAACACAUGCAAGUCGAGCGGAUGAAGGGAGCUUGCUCCUGGAUUCAGCGGCGGACGGGUGAGUAAUGCCUAGGAAUCUGCCUGGUAGUGGGGGAUAACGUCCGGAAACGGGCGCUAAUACCGCAUACGUCCUGAGGGAGAAAGUGGGGGAUCUUCGGACCUCACGCUAUCAGAUGAGCCUAGGUCGGAUUAGCUAGUUGGUGGGGUAAAGGCCUACCAAGGCGACGAUCCGUAACUGGUCUGAGAGGAUGAUCAGUCAGACCGGGACUGAGACCAGGCCCAGAUUCCUACAGGAGGCAGAAGUGGGGAAUAUUGGACAAAGGGCGAAAGCCUGAUCAAGAAAUGCCGCGUGAGUGAUGAAGGCCUUAGGGUUGUAAAGCCCUGUUACACGGGAUGAUAAUGACAGUACCGGGAGAAGAAGCUCCGGCUAAAUCCGUG